RNAcentral lists this ribosomal RNA (406 nucleotides) under uncultured bacterium. Its description in RNAcentral is "partial 16S ribosomal RNA". It matches the Rfam family "Bacterial small subunit ribosomal RNA", at positions 30 to 526 of the family's 1533-position model. The record is from RNAcentral.
AUUGAACGCUGGCGGCAGGCCUAACACAUGCAAGUCGAGCGAGCGGCGGACGGGUGAGUAAUGUAUGGGGAUCUGCCUGAUGGAGGGGGAUAACUACUGGAAACGGUAGAUAAUACUGCAUACCAUCAGAUGUGCUCAGAUGGGAUUAGCUACUGGGUGAGGUAACGGCUGACCAAGGCGACGAGCCCUAGCUGGUCUGAGAGGAUGAUCAGCCACACUGGGACUGAGACACGGCCCAGACUCCUACGGGAGGCAGCAGUGGGGAAUAUUUCACAAUGGGCGCAAGCCUGAGUCAGCCACGCCGCGUGGAUGAAGAAGGCCUUCGGGUUGUAAAGUACUUUCAGUCGGGAGGCGUUACCGACAGAAGAAGCACCGGCUAACUCCGUGCCAGCAGCCGCGGUAAUUC